AGUUUUCGUUUUCCUCGGCAGUUAACUGCCGCCGGUUGCACAAAAACUUCGACAGUUUACUGCCGAAGGGCAU
RNAcentral lists this microRNA precursor (73 nucleotides) under Medicago truncatula (barrel medic). RNAcentral's name for it is "MIR2629 microRNA precursor family". It matches the Rfam family "MIR2629 microRNA precursor family". Lineage: Eukaryota; Viridiplantae; Streptophyta; Magnoliopsida; Fabales; Fabaceae. The record is from Rfam by way of RNAcentral.